GGGCGUGUAGCUCAGUUGGUAGAGCGUGUCAUUUGCAUCUACUCUGCGACUUGACAAGGCCUUUGGUUCGAUUCCUAACUCGUCCA
Molecule: non-coding RNA, 86 nt
Organism: Apiotrichum porosum
Lineage: Eukaryota; Fungi; Basidiomycota; Tremellomycetes; Trichosporonales; Trichosporonaceae
Source: the annotation of a RefSeq genome assembly